This 502-nucleotide ribosomal RNA is filed under the name uncultured bacterium. Its description in RNAcentral is "partial 16S ribosomal RNA". It matches the Rfam family "Bacterial small subunit ribosomal RNA", at positions 29 to 523 of the family's 1533-position model. The record is from RNAcentral.
AUUGAACGCUGGCGGAAUGCUUUACACAUGCAAGUCGAACGGCAGCACGGGUGCUUGCACCUGGUGGCGAGUGGCGAACGGGUGAGUAAUACAUCGGAACGUACCCAGUCGUGGGGGAUAACGUAGCGAAAGUUACGCUAAUACCGCAUACGUCCUGAGGGAGAAAGCGGGGGACCGUAAGGCCUCGCGCGAUUGGAGCGGCCGAUGGCGGAUUAGCUAGUUGGUGGGGUAAAGGCCUACCAAGGCGACGAUCCGUAGCGGGUCUGAGAGGACGGCCCGCCACACUGGAACUGAGACACGGUCCAGACUCCUACGGGAGGCAGCAGUGGGGAAUUUUGGACAAUGGGCGAAAGCCUGAUCCAGCCAUUCCGCGUGAGUGAAGGAGGCCUUCGGGUUGUAAAGCUCUUUCGGCAGGGAAGAAACGGCUUGGGAUAAUACCCCGGGCUAAUGACGGUACCUGAAGAAGAAGCACCGGCUAACUACGUACCAGCCGCCGCAGUAA